AGCCAACCAGAAAUAGGUAUCAAAUUGAUCACAACCAGUAACAGAUUUCUUUGUUCUUUCUCCACUCCCACUGCUUCACUUGACUAGCCUUAA
This 93-nucleotide small RNA is filed under the name Macaca nemestrina (pig-tailed macaque). RNAcentral describes it as "Y RNA (ENSMNEG00000013303.1)". It matches the Rfam family "Y RNA", at positions 24 to 96 of the family's 96-position model. Rfam says of the family: Y RNAs are components of the Ro ribonucleoprotein particle (Ro RNP), in association with Ro60 and La proteins. The record is from RNAcentral. Lineage: Eukaryota; Metazoa; Chordata; Mammalia; Primates; Cercopithecidae.